RNAcentral lists this non-coding RNA (213 nucleotides) under Actinoplanes sp. RNAcentral also lists the same sequence under 1 other name. The record is from RNAcentral. Lineage: Bacteria; Bacillati; Actinomycetota; Actinomycetes; Micromonosporales; Micromonosporaceae.
GGCACAAACUUGUUGCGAGGUGCCCCGCGUCCGGUCCGCCGGCCGGGGAGAAUCUGGGAAGCCGGUGCGAUUCCGGCACGGGCCCGCCGCGGUGACCGGGGAGCUGCCGCCCACGCGCUCCCCGCGAGCGCAGCCACUGGCCAUCGGCUGGGAAGGCGGGCGGUGAGGUGACGAUCCGGGAGUCCGAAGACCGGCCUCGCGUCCACCCAUCGC